RNAcentral lists this long non-coding RNA (1473 nucleotides) under Capra hircus (goat). RNAcentral describes it as "lncRNA (ENSCHIG00010016078.1)". The record is from RNAcentral. Lineage: Eukaryota; Metazoa; Chordata; Mammalia; Artiodactyla; Bovidae.
GUUGGAAAUGGCAAUAAGGAAGACCCACUUCCAGCACUAAGAAGCCGCAGCUGACAAUCUGGCGGUGAUGGGACACAGUGGACCCAUCAAUUGCCUAUUAGACACGUGCCUGCCAUAUAUUUUAAUGGGAACCGUAUGUGUGCAGUCCAUGAGUACUUACUGCAAAGGAAGUGAAGUGCUGAGUCCCACCACCCACCCACAUCUGCGGCUUCACAAGCCACAAGAAAGUGGAAAACAAACACGCCACUGGCAUACCCGGAAACCAUGGAAGUCUGGCAAAACCAACCAGAAAGGAAAAGAGAAAUGGAGUGUGGAGACUGUGCUGGUGGGAAGCUGGAGCGUUACAAAAGGGACAUAUUCAAAGGCUUUCUACCUCACUUGGAAAUUCUAUCCCAUUUUUGAUAUAUUUAAAGAAACUAUAAAUUGUUUAGGGCAUGGCCAAAUCCUCUAACGACCUCUUUAAGAAAAAAUGGAAUUACCUAAAUACAAGAAUCAGAAAAAAGGAAAAAUUAUAGUGUAUGGAUACAGCAGAAACCUGUGCAGCUUUAAAGAUAAAUGAAUUAGACUGCAAAAUAAAGCAAGAAGAACAUAUUCAGUAUGAUAUGACUGAUAUGAUGUAUCAGUAGGGAAACAGAUUUAUCUGACAAAAGGAUAACCAAAUGUAAUACAAAACACUUACUUCAAGUUAAUGUUUAUCUUUGGAGCAAAGGAUAGAGAAAAGUGACUGUGAAGUGGUAUUCAGGGGGCUUCAGUCCUGCUGUCUUCAGCUAGAGGACUUGAGGGAAAGUUCCAGAGAGGGGUCAUCUGAGAACUUUCAGUUGCCAUUACUGCCAGCAGCUGGGGGAAUGGGUAUUUGCAUCCUAUAGUGGGGGUCCAUGUGGGUCCUUGGAUAGUAUGGUCACUUUAAUAAAAUUAAUUUUUCUAAUCCACAAGCACAGUAUAUCUUUCCAUCUGUUUAUGUCCUCUUCAGUUUUUUUGCAUCAGUGUUCUAUAAUUUUCUGAGUACAGUUCUUUUCUCUCUUUAGAUUUAUUCCUAGACAUUUUAUUCUUCUUGAUGUGUUUGUAAAUUUUUUUUAUACUUCUGAUAGUUUGUUUUUAAUGUAUAGAAAUGCAACAGAUAUCUGUGCAUUAAUUUUAUAUCCUACAACUUUAAUAAAUUCAUUAAGUUUUAGUAGUUUUUGGUGGCAUCUUUAGGAUUUCCUAUGUAUGGUAUCAUGUCAUCUGCAAGUAGUGAUAGUUUUACUUCUUUUCAAUUUGGAUUUCUUUUAUUUAUUUUUUUAUUGUCUGGUUGAAUCAAACUGGAUUACUCUCUCACACCAUGUGAAAAACUAAAUUCAAAAUGGAUUAAAGACCUAAAUUUAAGACCUGAAACCAUGAAAGUUCUAGAAGAAAGCAUAGGGAGUAUGCUCUUUGGCAUCAGUCUUAGUAAUAUGCUUUUGGAUAUAUCUCAGGAAAGGGAAACGAAGGCAAAAA